UAGGGAAUCUUCCGCAAUGGGCGAAAGCCUGACGGAGCAACGCCGCGUGAGUGAUGAAGGUCUUCGGAUCGUAAAACUCUGUUAUUAGGGAAGAACAAAUGUGUAAGUAACUAUGCACGUCUUGACGGUACCUAAUCAGAAAGCCACGGCUAACUACGUGCCAGCAGCCGCGGUAAUACGUAGGUGGCAAGCGUUAUCCGGAAUUAUUGGGCGUAAAGCGCGCGUAGGCGGUUUUUUAAGUCUGAUGUGAAAGCCCACGGCUCAACCGUGGGGGGUCAUUGGAAACUGGAAAACUUGAGUGCAGAAGAGGAAAGUGGAAUUCCAUGUGUAGCGGUGAAAUGCGCAGAGAUAUGGAGGAACACCAGUUGCGAAGGCGACUUUCUGGUCUGUAACUGACGCUGAUGUGCGAAAGCGUGGGGAUCAAACAGG
RNAcentral lists this ribosomal RNA (429 nucleotides) under Actinomycetes bacterium. RNAcentral describes it as "Actinobacteria bacterium partial 16S ribosomal RNA". It matches the Rfam family "Bacterial small subunit ribosomal RNA", at positions 355 to 776 of the family's 1533-position model. The record is from RNAcentral. Lineage: Bacteria; Bacillati; Actinomycetota; Actinomycetes.